This 468-nucleotide ribosomal RNA is filed under the name uncultured bacterium. Its description in RNAcentral is "partial 16S ribosomal RNA". It matches the Rfam family "Bacterial small subunit ribosomal RNA", at positions 28 to 507 of the family's 1533-position model. The record is from RNAcentral.
GACGAACGCUGGCGGCGUGCUUAACACAUGCAAGUCGAACGGAAAGGCCCUGCUUUUGUGGGGUGCUCGAGUGGCGGACGGGUGAGUAGCACGUGAGUAACCUGCCCUUGACUUUGGGAUAACUUCAGGAAACUGGGGCUAAUACCGGAUAGGAGCUCCUGCUGCAUGGUGGGGGUUGGAAAGUUUCGGCGGUUGGGGAUGGACUCGCGGCUUAUCAGCUUGUUGGUGGGGUAGUGGCUUACCAAGGCUUUGACGGGUAGCCGGCCUGAGAGGGUGACCGGCCACAUUGGGACUGAGAUACGGCCCAGACUCCUACGGGAGGCAGCAGUGGGGAAUAUUGAACAAUGGGCGGAAGCCUGAUGCAGCAACGCAGCGUGCGGGAUGACGGCCUUCGGGUUGUAAACCGCUUUCGCCUGUGACGAAGCGUGAGUGACGGUAAUGGGUAAAGAAGCACAGGCUAACUACGUG